AUGUAUUCUCAGCUUUGAGAACUGAAUUCCAUGGGUUGUAAUUGAAUCUCUGUCAGACCCAUGGGGCUCAGUUCUUCAGCUUGGAUAUCUGUG
Molecule: microRNA precursor, 93 nt
Filed under: Chelonia mydas (Green sea turtle)
Lineage: Eukaryota; Metazoa; Chordata; Testudines; Cheloniidae
Description: mir-146 microRNA precursor family
Rfam family: mir-146 microRNA precursor family
Source: Rfam by way of RNAcentral